GGCUCGGUAGCUCAGUUGGUAGAGCAGAGGACUGAAAAUCCUCGUGUCGGCGGUUCGAUUCCGCCCUGAGCCACCA
RNAcentral lists this transfer RNA (76 nucleotides) under mine drainage metagenome. RNAcentral describes it as "tRNA-Phe". It matches the Rfam family "tRNA". From Rfam's summary of the family: Transfer RNA (tRNA) molecules are approximately 80 nucleotides in length. Their secondary structure includes four short double-helical elements and three loops (D, anti-codon, and T loops). The record is from RNAcentral.